This 485-nucleotide ribosomal RNA is filed under the name uncultured bacterium. Its description in RNAcentral is "partial 16S ribosomal RNA". It matches the Rfam family "Bacterial small subunit ribosomal RNA", at positions 29 to 523 of the family's 1533-position model. The record is from RNAcentral.
AGUGAACGCUGGCGGCGUGCUUAACACAUGCAAGUCGAACGAGAACGGAAUAUAGCUUGCUAUAUUUGUCAGCUAAGUGGCGCACGGGUGAGUAAUGUAUAGAUAACCUGCCCUUAAGGAAGGAAUAACAGUUGGAAACGACUGCUAAUGCCCUAUAUGCCUUUAAUACAUAAGUAUGCAAGGGAAAAGCUUUAGUGCUUAAGGAUGGGUCUGUAUGGUAUCAGCUUGUUGGUGAGGUAAUGGCUCACCAAGGCUAUGACGCCUAACUGGUUUGAGAGGAUGAUCAGUCACACUGGAACUGAGACACGGUCCAGACUCCUACGGGAGGCAGCAGUGGGGAAUAUUGCACAAUGGACGAAAGUCUGAUGCAGCAACGCCGCGUGGAGGAUGACACAUUUCGGUGCGUAAACUCCUUUUAUAUAGGAAGAUAAUGACGGUACUAUAUGAAUAGGCACCGGCUAACUCCGUGCCAGCAGCCGCGGUAA